Long non-coding RNA from Myotis daubentonii (Daubenton's bat), 4360 nucleotides. RefSeq lists it as uncharacterized. The transcript is spliced from 2 exons. NCBI's taxonomy places the organism in Eukaryota, Metazoa, Chordata, Mammalia, Chiroptera, Vespertilionidae. The record is from RefSeq and is a predicted model, not a curated record.
GCUGCUGACUGGCUCCGGGAGCUGGGAAGAGCAGGGCAGGUGGAGCUGCCAGGCGCCCACAUAGGUACCCUCACCACGUUGGUCCUGCCCCAAAGGCCCUGCACCGGGAAGAGCCUGGGCUAUGAAAGGACCCUCCCAGAUGCCCACUUUGUCCUGCAUCUCCUCGGUCCAGUCUUCUUUUUUUUUCAAAAGCCACUCAGAAAGCAUUCUCUCCCUCUGACUCUUCCAUCAGGAAGAGAAGAACGAUCAUCAGUGGCUAAUGGCAGCUGCAGAAGCAAGCCAAGAGGCGGCUUCACGCUCAGGAGAGAACGCUGCGCCUCCUCAUGGUUUCGGGUGCUCUACACGUUCAGAGAAACUUCUCCAGUAACAAACUAGGAGCGAGCCCUGAAAGCACAGUCUCGUGCCCAGUCCUCUUGAAGAAGGGCACUCACUCCUGGUGGCACUCAAGGGUGCAGCAGGGGCAGGGGCAAGGCUCACCUGGAUGAGGAGCUGCUCGCCGGAGGCCCUCCACUCCCCAGUAAGCUGGCCAGGCCUGGCCCAGUCAGGGCCCCCAGCCCACCUACGAGGAGCAAGGAGACGCAUGCUCAGGUGUCACUCACCUGGAGUGCCCGCCUCGCCCACCAAAGCAGCAGAAAUGCCCCGCACGGAAGUCAAGGGGCGAGCAGGGGGAGGUGUGGACCCUGUGAGCGGGUGCCUGCUCAGAUCAGUGUUCUGGAAGCCAAUUCCUAAGUCAAUGCCUCUGUUCCAUUCGUUACGCUUGGGGUCAAGGUAAUAGCAGCGCAAAUCCAGUAGAGAAGUGCAUCCUCGCUGUCUGUGAGACACACCCACCCAAACCCCGAAGGUGGCAGCAGGCCCCUCCUCAGCCGGCCAGGCUCCCCUGAGCCGCACAGCGGGAUCCUCACUGGGGGCCCUGGAAGGCCUUGCCCACUCGGCUCCCAUUCAAACCAGAAGGCUCACAGGCCCUCCUCCAGAGAAGGCAACACAGGGAACACAUAGACACCACUCAGCCAAUUAGGAGCUUAAAGGAAACGGACUCCAAGGCAAAAGCAACCACAAGCUGAAGGUUGUCCGAAUUAAAACAAAGGCCCCGGGGCCAGAGGGCGUUACCCAGUCCUCCGAGGCCGGCGGGUCCGAUGAGCUGCAUGAGCUGGCUGUGGCUCAUGUUCCCCAGCAGGCUCUGCAGGCCGCCCUCGCCUGGAAGACAGAAGGUGCUCAGGCUCAGGGCCCGCCUGCGCCCGCCCCGCAGUGCCUUGGGAAGGUGCUCUCAGAAGGGCUCAUACCACUGGCGCCUUCAGGCGAGGAAGAGCUAAGCCCGACAGCCCCCAGGACUGCCCCUCCAAGAGUUGCAUGAAAUGAGUCGGUGGGUGAGUCUCUGACACUGUUCUCGCCUGAGGAUGCGAGUGGGGACCUGGGAAGGGUUUCCACCUGGGACUCCUCACUUGCACUUAAAACAGCUGGUCUGGGCCACGGCCAGGGACUCAGUGGCUAGAGCACCACCCCAUGAGGCCAAGAUGGAGAGUGUGAUCCCUGGUCAAGGCGCGUGCGAGGACCCACCAGUGAGCGCACAAGUGCAGCAGCAGGCGAUGCUUCUCUCCCCUUCCCCCACUCCCUCAAAUCAGUUUUAAAAAACCACAACUGGUCUGCAUCAUCGAGGGCCACCUGAUACCUCCUGGGGCCUCUGAGCACAGGCAGGGGGAGGGGAGCAUUACCGCCCAGUGCAGACAGCUCGUGGCCUCCACUCCCGCUCGCCCCCAGUGCUCCGGGCAUCGGUGGGUUGUUCAGAUACUCGUUGACUUUCCGGCAAUGCUCCUCGUCCUGGUCCGUCUUAGGCUCCUGCGGGAGGACAGGACAACAGCCGCAGCUGAGCAGCCCGCCCACCACAGACCAGACUUACAGAGGAGGGACCUAGGCUCAGACAGAAGAAGUCACUGUCCACGUUCCCAUGGCACCAGGGAGAAGACCCAGCAGUCCCCUACAAUGGACGUGCCCGUUAGAGACAAAAGCGCUAAAAACGCGAGUCGUGCUAGGGCAGGUCCCGUCCUGCAGGCCUGAGGCUUCCUUCGACCAUAGACAGCCCCAGGCCCUUCCUUCAACACAGGCACUCGAUGCAAUGACCUCUACCACGGCACUGCCCACACACCACACCCGGCCCAGGCCCCUCGGGGUCCACAGGGCCCCACAAUGAGCCCCUCCCUGGGUGUGAUGGGGGUCAUCGGGCAUGCCACCCUGUCAGUGCCCAGAACUGCAAGACGAAGCGCCCAAGACGGAUCCGUCCACCGUCACCGAGCAUGGGCUUCUGUGGGGACACAGGGACGCGACAGGCGUGCGCAGGAGAGAGGUCACAUGAGCAGAACUGGUAAACAGCUAGUGUGAGGCGAACCUCUGACAAGAUUUCUUGGCAAAACUGGAGAAACAAGCUCUGCCCCAGCGGCUGCAAACCUCAGCCCCACCUGAGUCUGCAAAUGAAGUUGGACUGGAGCCGGGCUGCGCGCCCAGGCAUGCUCUCCCUUCCCUGUCCCGGCCACGUCCCCGCUACUUCGGCGCAAGUGAGCAGCUGGGCCCCCCAAGAGGAAACCCUUUCCCACCGGCUCUCCACGUCCAGGCUCUGGGGGGGAACAUGUUGACACCUGUCAAAACUGCACACGUGUGUCCACUAUACCAGCAAGCCAUUCCUCCAUUUCAGCACACACAUUAUCCUCACACACGCAGUAACCGGCACAAGGCGACUGUUAUGGCACUGCCUGGAGUAGAAGCAACCACGACAUGGCAACAGCUUGACCUGAUGGAGGACUGCCUACAGCCGUGGGGGCACGUGUGUGUGCCGACCCCAAGGCUCCAGAGCGCUCCAUUAGGGGAGCAGCAGGGCUCAGAGAGCUCGGAGAGAACACUGCUUUGGAGACUAUACAGCGUCAUCCUGGCUUCUGCCCUGGGUCCUCGUGACCCUUGAGGGGGCACUGGGGACAAGCAAACCACAGGCCAAGUGCCCAUCAAUGCCCUGAGAUGGAGCCGAGCCUGGAGCACCCAUCUGCCUGCCAAGGCACUCCCCCCCCUUGAAAGGCACUGAGGGCCACACAGGGGACUCCAGGCUCCGCGGCAGCAUGUUGGUCAGCCCCAGCUGGUUGUGGAAGCCAAUUCUACCAUCUGGCAAGCAGGUUUCUAACCUAGCUCUAAGACGAGGAGGAAAAAAACAUACAAACAAAACCUACACACCUGCAUCCAGAAGAAGAGCCGUUUGGACCCUGCCUUGAACUUGAGCACGUAGACCCUCCCGCUGGGGCACUGCGGCACGCGCUUGAACUCACAGUCGUCAGGGAAGAUGAUCAAAUCCUGUAGAGCCACAGGAGGGGAGAGUCAUGGUCCCGUGACCCAUCAAGCCCCCGAGCCUCCCAGGAACACAUGCUGGGCUGUGUCUCAGCGUGUAGGGUGGGGAGGAGGGCACAGGGCCCAGAUCACCCUCCUCACCAGCAGGGCCUCUCAGGGCGGAUAAGCCUGGGGCAGAGGCACCCAGGAAGGAGAAGGGCUUCCGGGCCAGGCACAGGCCUGGUGCUGAACAGGGAACGCAGGCUCAUGAAGGAUUUUUUAAUAGAAACAUUGUGGGAACAUUCCCAGAUGAGUCAAAAAGCCAACUCUGACCUGCCCUUGAACCUAACACAGAACAAUUCAGUCUGAAGGACAAAGAACACUAGGUAGAAUGACCACUGGAGGGAGCUGUCUGGUGGGCUGGAGUAAAGGUCAGGAUUUUUACAUGGCUUCACCCAUUCUAGUACCUAAUCUUCAAAGUUUAAAGUAUAUGGGUGACGCCCGGCUGGUGUGGCUCAGUGGUUGAGCAUCGACCUAUGAACCUGGAGGUUACAGUUUGAUUCCUGGUCAGAGCACACGCCUGGGUUGAGGGCUCGAUCCCCAGUGUGGGGUGUGCAGGAGGCAGUCAUCCAUGAUUCUCUCUCAUCAUUCCUCCCUCUCUCUCUCUCUCCCCCCCUCUGAAAUCCAUAAAAAUGUAAUAAGUAAAUAAAGCAUAUACAGUGACACAGUGACGGGAGAAACCUAUGUCAUCAGUGGGCCUGGGAAGACCAAUAAGCAAAUCAAAACAGCUCAUGGGGCAGCCAAGCAGCAACGCCACACACCCACCCACGGCCUCCCGGUGAUGCUGCCACCGCCAGUGGCCGCCAAGAGGGCAGAGACUCACGUCUUCCACGUUCCCAGACGUCCUGUCUUUCCAGCAGAAGUGAAUGAGGGAGUCAUCCGUCUGCUGAAUGUACACGAGCCCUUUUCUUUUGUCUGGGGUGACAGUUGUUCCUUUUAACGACAUUUUUCCUGCCCGAAACUCCACCAAAUACUUGUUGGAGGACCCACGGGAGCCUGG